Molecule: ribosomal RNA, 550 nt
Filed under: uncultured Methanoculleus sp.
Lineage: Archaea; Methanobacteriati; Methanobacteriota; Methanomicrobia; Methanomicrobiales; Methanomicrobiaceae
Description: bacterial SSU rRNA
Rfam family: Archaeal small subunit ribosomal RNA
Source: RNAcentral
ACGGGGUGCAGCAGGCGCGAAACCUUUACAAUGCGGGCAACCGUGAUAAGGGAACCUCGAGUGCCUGUAAACGCAGGCUGUUCAGGUGUUUAAAACGCACCUGGAGAAAGGGCCGGACAAGACCGGUGCCAGCCGCCGCGGUAAUACCGGCGGCUCGAGUGGUGGCCGCUUUUAUUGGGCUUAAAGCGUUCGUAGCUGGGUUGUUAAGUCUCUUGGGAAAUCUGGCGGCUUAACCGUCAGGCGUCUAAGGGAUACUGGCAAUCUUGGAACCGGGAGAGGUGAGGGGUACUUCGGGGGUAGGGGUGAAAUCCUGUAAUCCUCGAGGGACCACCUGUGGCGAAGGCGCCUCACCAGAACGGCUUCGACAGUGAGGGACGAAAGCUGGGGGAGCAAACCGGAUUAGAUACCCGGGUAGUCCCAGCCGUAAACGAUGCGCGUUAGGUGUAUCGGUGACCAUGAGUUACCGAGGUGCCGAAGGGAAACCGUGAAACGCGCCGCCUGGGAAGUACGGUCGCAAGGCUGAAACUUAAAGGAAUUGGCGGGGGAGCAC